Molecule: ribosomal RNA, 256 nt
Filed under: uncultured bacterium
Lineage: Bacteria
Description: partial 16S ribosomal RNA
Rfam family: Bacterial small subunit ribosomal RNA
Source: RNAcentral
UACAGAGGUCUCAAGCGUUGUUCGGAUUCAUUGGGCGUAAAGGGUGCGUAGGUGGCGUCGUAAGUCGGGUGUGGAAAUUUCGGAGCUUAACUCCGAAACUGCAUUCGAUACUGCGGUGCUUGAGGACUGGAGAGGAGACUGGAAAUUUACGGUGUAGCAGUGAAUGCGUAGAGAUCGUAAGGAAGACCAGUGGCGAAGGCGGGUCUGCUGGACAGUUUCCUGACACUGAGGCACGAAAGGCCAGGGAGCAAACGGG